UGCUGCUUUGCUGACGAGUGGCGGACGGGUGAGUAAUGUCUGGGAAACUGCCUGAUGGAGGGGGAUAACUACUGGAAACGGUAGCUAAUACCGCAUAACGUCGCAAGACCAAAGAGGGGGACCUUAGGGCCUCUUGCCAUCGGAUGUGCCCAGAUGGGAUUAGCUAGUAGGUGGGGUAACGGCUCACCUAGGCGACGAUCCCUAGCUGGUCUGAGAGGAUGACCAGCCACACUGGAACUGAGACACGGUCCAGACUCCUACGGGAGGCAGCAGUGGGGAAUAUUGCACAAUGGGCGCAAGCCUGAUGCAGCCAUGCCGCGUGUAUGAAGAAGGCCUUCGGGUUGUAAAGUACUUUCAGCGGGGAGGAAGGGAGUAAAGUUAAUACCUUUGCUCAUUGACGUUACCCGCAGAAGAAGCACCGGCUAACUCCGUGCCAGCAGCCGCGGUAAUACGGAGGGUGCAAGCGUUAAUCGGAAUUACUGGGCGUAAAGCGCACGCAGGCGGUUUGUUAAGUCAGAUGUGAAAUCCCCGGGCUCAACCUGGGAACUGCAUCUGAUACUGGCAAGCUUGAGUCUCGUAGAGGGGGGUAGAAUUCCAGGUGUAGCGGUGAAAUGCGUAGAGAUCUGGAGGAAUACCGGUGGCGAAGGCGGCCCCCUGGACGAAGACUGACGCUCAGGUGCGAAAGCGUGGGGAGCAAACAGGAUUAGAUACCCUGGUAGUCCACGCCGUAAACGAUGUCGACUUGGAGGUUGUGCCCUUGAGGCGUGGCUUCCGGAGCUAACGCGUUAAGUCGACCGCCUGGGGAGUACGGCCGCAAGGUUAAAACUCAAAUGAAUUGACGGGGGCCCGCACAAGCGGUGGAGCAUGUGGUUUAAUUCGAUGCAACGCGAAGAACCUUACCUGGUCUUGACAUCCACGGAAGUUUUCAGAGAUGAGAAUGUGCCUUCGGGAACCGUGAGACAGGUGCUGCAUGGCUGUCGUCAGCUCGUGUUGUGAAAUGUUGGGUUAAGUCCCGCAACGAGCGCAACCCUUAUCCUUUGUUGCCAGCGGUCCGGCCGGGAACUCAAAGGAGACUGCCAGUGAUAAACUGGAGGAAGGUGGGGAUGACGUCAAGUCAUCAUGGCCCUUACGACCAGGGCUACACACGUGCUACAAUGGCGCAUACAAAGAGAAGCGACCUCGCGAGAGCAAGCGGACCUCAUAAAGUGCGUCGUAGUCCGGAUUGGAGUCUGCAACUCGACUCCAUGAAGUCGGAAUCGCUAGUAAUCGUGGAUCAGAAUGCCACGGUGAAUACGUUCCCGGGCCUUGUACACACCGCCCGUCACACCAUGGGAGUGGGUUGCAAAAGAAGUAGGUAGCUUAACCUUCGGGAGGGCGCUUACCACUUUGUGAUUCAUGACUGGGGUGAAGUCGUAACAAGGUAACCGUAGGGGAACCUGCGGUUGGAUCACCUCCUUA
Molecule: ribosomal RNA, 1458 nt
Filed under: Escherichia coli
Lineage: Bacteria; Pseudomonadati; Pseudomonadota; Gammaproteobacteria; Enterobacterales; Enterobacteriaceae
Description: bacterial SSU rRNA
Rfam family: Bacterial small subunit ribosomal RNA
Source: RNAcentral